This 492-nucleotide ribosomal RNA is filed under the name uncultured bacterium. RNAcentral describes it as "partial 16S ribosomal RNA". It matches the Rfam family "Bacterial small subunit ribosomal RNA", at positions 29 to 507 of the family's 1533-position model. The record is from RNAcentral.
AGUGAACGCUGGCGGUAGGCCUAACACAUGCAAGUCGAACGGCAGCACAGUAAGAGCUUGCUCUUACGGGUGGCGAGUGGCGGACGGGUGAGGAAUACAUCGGAAUCUACUUUUUCGUGGGGGAUAACGUAGGGAAACUUACGCUAAUACCGCAUACGACCUACGGGUGAAAGCAGGGGAUCUUCGGACCUUGCGCGAUUGAAUGAGCCGAUGUCGGAUUAGCUAGUUGGCGGGGUAAAGGCCCACCAAGGCGACGAUCCGUAGCUGGUCUGAGAGGAUGAUCAGCCAAACUGGAACUGAGACACGGUCCAGACUCCUACGGGAGGCAGCAGUGGGGAAUAUUGGACAAUGGGCGCAAGCCCGAUCCAGCCAUACCGCGUGGGUGAAGAAGGCCUUCGUGUUGUAAAGCCCUUUUGUUGGGAAAGAAAAGCAGCAGGUUAAUACCCCGCUGUUCUGACGGUACCCAAAGAAUAAGCACCGGCUAACUUCGUG